CAGGAUUGCCUUAGUAACGGCGAGUGAAGCGGCAACAGCUCAAAUUUGAAAGCUGGCCUUCGGGUCCGCAUUGUAAUUUGUAGAGGAUGCUUUGGGUGAAACGCCAGUCUAAGUUCCUUGGAACAGGACGUCAUAGAGGGUGAGAAUCCCGUAUGUGACUGGAAAUGUUAACCUAUGUAAAGCUCCUUCGACGAGUCGAGUUGUUUGGGAAUGCAGCUCUAAAUGGGAGGUAAAUUUCUUCUAAAGCUAAAUAUUGGCGAGAGACCGAUAGCGCACAAGUUAGAGUGAUCGAAAGAUGAAAAGCACUUUGGAAAGAGAGUUAAAAAGCACGUGAAAUUGUUGAAAGGGAAGCGCUUGCAAUCAGACUUGUUUAAACUGUUCGGCCGGUCUUCUGACCGGUUUACUCAGUUUGGACAGGCCAGCAUCAGUUUCGGCGGCCGGAUAAAGGCUCUGGGAAUGUGGCCUUCACUUCGUAAGUGUUUACCCCAGUG
RNAcentral lists this ribosomal RNA (491 nucleotides) under Aureobasidium pullulans. RNAcentral's name for it is "eukaryotic LSU rRNA". It matches the Rfam family "Eukaryotic large subunit ribosomal RNA", at positions 70 to 568 of the family's 3401-position model. The record is from RNAcentral. Lineage: Eukaryota; Fungi; Ascomycota; Dothideomycetes; Dothideales; Saccotheciaceae.